Molecule: long non-coding RNA, 1468 nt
Filed under: Helianthus annuus (common sunflower)
Lineage: Eukaryota; Viridiplantae; Streptophyta; Magnoliopsida; Asterales; Asteraceae
Description: hypothetical non coding rna
Source: RNAcentral
GUGUGUGUGUGUGUACGAGCAGAGCAGAAGAAAGGAAGGGGGAGCCCUUCUCAAACCCUAAGCAACGAAUUGGAAGGAUUCUGGCCGAAAUCGAACCUGCAUGAACCUUAAUAGUGAUAAUCUAAGCAAGAUGUAACCAAGGAAACCAUGUUUAUGAGAACGUGUCAAGGAGAGCUCAAGCAUAGGAGGAUAACGGGUCAAGAUAAGGCAAGGUGACAAAUACACUUAUUGGAGUACUCAAGGUAAGUGAUUUCCGUAGUCACUUCUUAGUUUGUUUAAGUAAUACAACGCUUUAUUUAAUUAGACAUGAUGUUUGAUGUCAAUUAUGCGUUGAAGUCUUUCAUUGUGCAUAAUGGGAAUAAAGUUGAUUAAGACGCCCUUGAUGGGUAUGUUGGGCGAACAAUCUUAAAGUAGACUAUAAGGAAGCUAUUCGAUUAGUGUAAUGGUUAUGGUCUAGUGUGAAAAUGUGGAGUAUGGUUUUGUAUGUCUUAAACCAUUUAAUGCGUAAAUAACCAUAACGGGUCGAAAAUAAGCAUUUGAGCGAUAAUGGGUUAAGAGGAUGCAAGACAUCCGAGAAUUUAAUCUUUUAUGAUAGAUGUCAACAAAAUUAUUAAGUUCAUAUAAGAUUGAGGUCAAAUAAUCAGAUUAUGUUGAUGUACGCUCGAACGGGUCAAAUAGUUAGAAAAUGAUUAUAAGUCGAAUGCAUGUAAGUUAAGAAUUUCCUUAAUCCGGAUGUAGGAUUUUAAGUUCAUAUGAAAGAAUGUGAAUGUACAAGCAUGUAGGAAGAAACCGGAGGUUAAACGGGUAAACGGUUUAAAAGUUAUGCGAGUUUUAGUGCGUUCGAACGACGAAAGCAGCACAGCAGAAAAAUGGCAAAAGCAGAGGCCGUCGUCGACGCCCCUAUGGGCCGUCGCCGACGCCUCGUGCUUUUUCAGUUUGCUCUGACGUCCUAUUUUCCUGUCUACGGGGUUUUUUAAGCUACGGGAAAAACUAAAAGCCGUCGCUGACGGCCUCCCAAUGUUUAGAAUGCUGAAAUUUGUUAACUAAGUUGUUUAAUGUAUCGUAAGCUUCAGUAUAUCAACCGUGGUCUAUGGUAAGCCUUCUAAACCAAAUUUUGGGUGUUCUCUUGAUGUUUUUGGAUUCUAAACCCAAGAAUAAGCACCAUAUAAAUAAUGUACGAACACGAUAAGUGUAUACGAACAAGUUAAACAAGAAUUGGAUGUAAGUAAAAUAUGCGUAGACACGAAUAUGUAAGCACGCAAGUACGUAUGCAGGUAUGCUUGGUUUCAAUAUGUUUGGGUAAGGAUCUCACUAACAAUGUGCUUGAGAUUGGUAGGUAAUGCAGGAAUGAGAACGACGGAUUCUCGUGGAAUGGAAGCUGAACUCGGAACGAGAGAAUCCGAGAGGAUAGUUGGAUAAAUCAAAGUUUACUUUGUCGAAUGUUAUACUAUUUAAUUAUAUGUGAAUU